Molecule: ribosomal RNA, 506 nt
Filed under: uncultured bacterium
Lineage: Bacteria
Description: partial 16S ribosomal RNA
Rfam family: Bacterial small subunit ribosomal RNA
Source: RNAcentral
AUUGAACGCUGGCGGCAGGCCUAACACAUGCAAGUCGGACGGUAGCACAGAGGAGCUUGCUCCUCGGGUGACGAGUGGCGUACGGGUGAGUAAUGUCUGGGGAUCUGCCCGAUAGAGGGGGAUAACCACUGGAAACGGUGGCUAAUACCGCAUAACGUCGCAAGACCAAAGAGGGGGACCUUCGGGCCUCUCACUAUCGGAUGAACCCAGAUGGGAUUAGCUAGUAGGCGGGGUAACGGCCCACCUAGGCGACGAUCCCUAGCUGGGCUGAGAGGAGGACCAGCCACACUGUACGUGAGACACGGUCCAGACUCCUACGGGAGGCAGCAGUGGGGAAUCUUGCACAAGGGGCGCAAGCCUGAUGCAGCCAUGCCGCGUGUAUGAAGAAGGCCGUCGGGUUGUAAAGUACUUUCAGCGGGGGGGAAGGCGAUGUGGUUAAUAACCGCAUUGAUUGACGUUACCCGCAGAGGGAGCCCCGGCUAAUUCCGUGCCAGCAGCCUCCGUAA